UACGUAGGGCGCAAGCGUAUCCGGAAUUAUUGGGCGUAAAGAGCUCGUAGGCGGUUUGUCGCGUCUGCUGUGAAAGACCGGGGCUCAACUCCGGUCUGCAGUGGGUACGGGCAGACUAGAGUGAUGUAGGGGAGACUGGAAUUCCUGGUGUAGCGGUGAAAUGCGCAGAUAUCAGGAGGAACACCGAUGGCGAAGGCAGGUCUCUGGGCACUUACUGACGUGAGGAGCGAAAGCGUGGGGAGCGAACAGG
Molecule: ribosomal RNA, 250 nt
Filed under: uncultured bacterium
Lineage: Bacteria
Description: partial 16S ribosomal RNA
Rfam family: Bacterial small subunit ribosomal RNA
Source: RNAcentral